This 245-nucleotide ribosomal RNA is filed under the name uncultured Tindallia sp. RNAcentral describes it as "partial 16S ribosomal RNA". It matches the Rfam family "Bacterial small subunit ribosomal RNA", at positions 524 to 768 of the family's 1533-position model. The record is from RNAcentral. Lineage: Bacteria; Bacillati; Bacillota; Clostridia; Peptostreptococcales; Tindalliaceae.
UACGUAGGGUCCAAGCGUUAUCCGGAAUCACUGGGCGUAAAGCGUGCGUAGGCGGCGUGUUAAGUGUGAUGUUAAAUCGUGUGGCUCAACCAUAUCGAUGCAUCGCAUACUGGCAUGCUUGAGGAAGGCAGAGGCAAGUGGAAUUUGUAGUGUAGCAGUGAAAUGCGUAGAGAUUACAAGGAACACCAAUGGCGAAGGCAGCUUGCUGGGCCCUUUCUGACGCUGAGGUACGAAAGCGUGGGGAG